GAUGAACGCUGGCGGCGUGCCUAAUACAUGCAAGUCGAGCGAAUGGAUUAAGAGCUUGCUCUUAUGAAGUUAGCGGCGGACGGGUGAGUAACACGUGGGUAACCUGCCCAUAAGACUGGGAUAACUCCGGGAAACCGGGGCUAAUACCGGAUAACAUUUUGAACCGCAUGGUUCGAAAUUGAAAGGCGGCUUCGGCUGUCACUUAUGGAUGGACCAGCGUCGCAUUAGCUAGUUGGUGAGGUAACGGCUCACCAAGGCAACGAUGCGUAGCCGACCUGAGAGGGUGAUCGGCCACACUGAGACUGAGACACUGCCCAGACUCCUACGGGAGGCAGCAGGAGGGAAUCUUCCGCAAUGGACGAAAGUCUGACGGAGCAACGCCGCGUGAGUGAUGAAGGCUUCCGGGUCGUAAAACUCUGUUGUUAGAGAAGAACAAGUGCUAGUUGAAUAAGCUGGCACCUUGACGGUACCUAACCAGAAAGCCACGGCUAACUACGUGCCAGCAGCCGCCGUAA
This 515-nucleotide ribosomal RNA is filed under the name uncultured bacterium. RNAcentral's name for it is "partial 16S ribosomal RNA". It matches the Rfam family "Bacterial small subunit ribosomal RNA", at positions 28 to 523 of the family's 1533-position model. The record is from RNAcentral.